Cyprinus carpio (common carp) is the source of this 660-nucleotide long non-coding RNA. RefSeq lists it as uncharacterized. The record is from RefSeq and is a predicted model, not a curated record. Lineage: Eukaryota; Metazoa; Chordata; Actinopteri; Cypriniformes; Cyprinidae.
CAACAGAGGGUGCCGCGAGCUACAUAGAUUGAAGAACUGAAGAACUGAACCUGGAUGCAGGACACUAUUAUCAUCAAUUCUCAAAAGAGACACCUUUGUUCCUCUCAAGAGACUGAAAUUGAUGGAGACACUUUAAUGAACCUAACUGAGACUACGAAAGCAUAAAUAUUCCCCAAAAUUAAGGAUUAAGUCAAAUUCAAAAGAUUACAAGAAAACCUAAAGACUGAGAUGCCAGCAAGACUACAGACACCAUGAGUCUCAAUGGUUGCUGCUGUCCUGCUGUUUCCACUUCUAUUAAAGGUGAAUCUGAGAUCUCUUUAUGUCAUCAGUGAGGAACCACAUACAACCAAACCCUGUGCUGUUUCUAAAUGGGCGUGCCUUGGAUGCAGAGAAAUAAUGAUGGAAGGGGAGGAGGAGGUCUGUGAAGUAGACAAUGCGAACACAGCUCUACACUUCAUCUUCAACACUGAAUAUGCUUCAAAGUUGAGAGACAUCCUGACAUUUAUUGAAAACUGUUUAAUGUAUCAUAAUGCCAAAACAUUUGAUGUGUUUCCCAUACAUUUAUUUAUUUGUGGUGCUCACAAUAUCAAAACUGACCGAUUUUCCAAAAGGCAUUGUUGAAUAAACAUGAGCACGUACUGCACGUUAAAAAAUCAAAAC